This 713-nucleotide ribosomal RNA is filed under the name Strombidinopsis acuminata. RNAcentral's name for it is "partial Bacterial large subunit ribosomal RNA". It matches the Rfam family "Bacterial large subunit ribosomal RNA", at positions 521 to 1233 of the family's 2925-position model. Lineage: Eukaryota; Ciliophora; Spirotrichea; Choreotrichida; Strombidinopsidae. The record is from RNAcentral.
GAACCCUGAAUAAGGGAGUGAAAUAGAACCUGAAACCAUACGCUUACAAGCGGUCGGAGCAGACUUGAUCUGUGACGGCGUGCCUUUUGCAUAAUGAUCCUACGAGUUACUCCUCAUUGGCAAGGUUAAGUCUUUAAGGGACGAAUCCGAAGCGAAAGCGAGUCUGAAUAGGGCGCUUUAGUUAGUAGUGGUAGACGCGAAACCGUGUGAUCUACCCAUGGGCAGGGUGAAGCUGUGGUAACACACAGUGGAGGCCCGAACCGAUAUACGUUGAAAAGUGUUCGGAUGACCUGUGGGUAGGGGUGAAAGGCCAAUCAAACUCGGAAAUAGCUCGUACUCCCCGAAAUGCAUUUAGGUGCAGCGUUCAGGUAGAGUAUUAUAGAGGUAGAGCUACUGAUAGGGCUAGGGGGCUUCACCGCCUACCAAACCCUGACAAACUCCGAAUGCUAUAAAAUGUUAAUCAGCAGUGAGGGCAUGGGUGCUAAGGUCCAUGUCCGAGAGGGAAAGAACCCAGACCAUCUGCUAAGGUCCCCAAAUGUAUGCUAAGUUGAUCAAACGUGGUCUGAUUGCUUUGACAGCUAGGAUGUUGGCUUGGAAGCAGCCAUUCAUUUAAAGAGUGCGUAACAGCUCACUGGUCGAGCGACAGGGCAUCGAUGAUGAUCGGGCAUUAAGUAUACCACCGAAGCUAAGGCAGUAUUUUAUACUGGGUAGGG